GAUGAACGCUAGCGGGAGGCUUAAUACAUGCAAGUCGAGGGGCAGCACGUGACUUCGGUCCUGGUGGCGACCGGCGCACGGGUGAGUAACGCGUACAUGACCUACCUUCAAGAGGGGGGUAGCCUUGGGAAACUGAGAUUAAUACCCCAUGUGAUUAACAAAAUAUAAAUUUAGUUAAAUAAAGUUCCGGCGCUUGAAGAUGGGUGUGCGUCCCAUUAGGUAGUUGGUGAGGUAACGGCUCACCAAGCCGACGAUGGGUAGGGGGCGUGAGAGCGUGACCCCCCACACGGGUACUGAGACACGGGCCCGACUCCUACGGGAGGCAGCAGUAAGGAAUAUUGGACAAUGGGCGCAAGCCUGAUCCAGCCAUCCCGCGUGCAGGAUGACAGCCUUCUGGGUUGUAAACUGCUUUUGGAAGGGAAGAAACGCUUUGAUUUACUCAGAGCCUGACGGUACCUUCAGAAUAAGCACCGGCUAACUCCGUGCCAGCAGCCGCGGUAAUACGGAGGGUGCAAGCGUUAUCCGGAAUCACUGGGUUUAAAGGGUGCGUAGGCGGCCUUGUAAGCCAGAUGUGAAAGCCCACCGCUCAACGGUGGAAUUGCAUUUGAUACUGCAAAGC
This 619-nucleotide ribosomal RNA is filed under the name uncultured bacterium. RNAcentral describes it as "bacterial SSU rRNA". It matches the Rfam family "Bacterial small subunit ribosomal RNA", at positions 28 to 641 of the family's 1533-position model. The record is from RNAcentral.